GGGGAUGUAGCUUAGAUGGUAGAGCGCUCACUUAGCAUGCGAGAGGUACGGGGAUCGAUACCCCGCAUCUCUA
This 73-nucleotide transfer RNA is filed under the name Ipomoea nil (Japanese morning glory). It matches the Rfam family "tRNA". Rfam says of the family: Transfer RNA (tRNA) molecules are approximately 80 nucleotides in length. Their secondary structure includes four short double-helical elements and three loops (D, anti-codon, and T loops). Lineage: Eukaryota; Viridiplantae; Streptophyta; Magnoliopsida; Solanales; Convolvulaceae. The record is from Rfam by way of RNAcentral.